GGGCCACUAGCUCAUCCGGUAGAGCACCGCUCUUUUAAGGCGGGUGUGCCGCGUUCAAGUCGCGGGUGGCCCA
RNAcentral lists this transfer RNA (73 nucleotides) under Candidatus Omnitrophota bacterium. RNAcentral's name for it is "Candidatus Omnitrophica bacterium tRNA-Lys". It matches the Rfam family "tRNA". Rfam says of the family: Transfer RNA (tRNA) molecules are approximately 80 nucleotides in length. Their secondary structure includes four short double-helical elements and three loops (D, anti-codon, and T loops). The record is from RNAcentral. Lineage: Bacteria; Pseudomonadati; Candidatus Omnitrophota.